GUCGCUGCCCAUUCAGCGACCGGACGUCGCGGUCCGAUCAACAAUAGGCGCACAGGCGCCACCAUUUCGAUUGCUGGCGCUUUUUUU
This 87-nucleotide small RNA is filed under the name Pseudomonas helleri. Its description in RNAcentral is "isrK". The record is from RNAcentral. Lineage: Bacteria; Pseudomonadati; Pseudomonadota; Gammaproteobacteria; Pseudomonadales; Pseudomonadaceae.